UUUUUGGUUUUCCUCCCCUAGCACUGGUUCUAAGGUGGUCACUGCUCAGGAGUUUCUGCUCUGGUAAGUGGUUCUUUCUGUAUUUGCCUGUCUUUCCAAUUUUAGGGACAUUGAUCUGUCCUAUGUCCUCACUUCUCUGAUGAAGAAUUGAAAAAAGAAUUGCUGAAUUUACAAUUUGCUCAGUUUUUUACUGGUAAAACAGAGUGAUGGCCUCUAAGGUCCUUAAACAUUGGACUGGAAACUGGAAGCCUCCAUUUUUCUCACUGUUUUUUUUUUCCAUCCUGCAUCUCCAAGUUUCUAUAUGGAUAUUUUUUAUGCUGAAAAAUUAUCACUAACAUUUAUUAUGGUGUAGGUCUAUUGCAGUGAAUUUUCUUAGCUUCUGUCAUCUGAAAAUAUCUUUCUUUUAUCUUGAUUUUUGAAGAAUUUUUAGUUGGAUACAGAAUUCUGUGGUGACAGUAUUGUUUCCUUUAAAGAUGUUCCAUUGUCUUGUGUCAUGUUUUCUGAUUUUCAGUUUCCAGUAUGCAGCCAGCCAUCAUUCAUAUCAUUGUCCCUGGCAUAUAUGUCAUUAUUGAGGAGACUGCUAUUAAGAUGUUCUUUCAGUUUAUUUUCAUUGAUUUGACUAUCAUAUGUCUAGGAGUGGUUUUCUCAGAUUGAUGUUUUCAUUAAAUUUGCAAAUUUUCAAUCAUUAUUUCCUCUCCAAACUUUUUUUUCUACUUGAUUCUCUAUCUCCUCCACUCCUGGGACUCAAUGCAUGGAUGUUAUAAACUUGAUAUUAUUUUAUGAUCAUUGAUAAUGUAUUCAUUUUUCUCUUUCUUUCAGCUUGAAUAUUUCUGUCACUUGCUCUUCCCAUUCACUGCUCCUUUCUUCUGUGAUGUUCUUAAGCCCCAGAUAGCUUAGAUAUUAUAUUUUUUAGUUCUAUAUUUUCUGCUUGGUUUUGUUUAGUGUUUGAAUAAUUCUUUUGAAAUAAUCCAUUUCUUUAUCUACUAUAUCCAUAAUUUUCUAUAAGUUCAUUAACACUAUUUAUAAAAGUUGUUUUACACACCCAAUCUGGCAAUUCCAAAAACUCAGGUCUUCUUUGAAUCUGUUUCUAUUGACUGUUUCUACAUCCUAAUUAGAAGUAUAAGUUCUCCUGUGUUAUUUCUAAUAAGUGCGAGUUCUCCCAGGAUGCAAGUUUCUCACUGGUGUAGAAAAAACUCUGACAAGUUUGAAAUGUCAGUUUUAGGGGGCAGUGUUCUGUGUCCUCACUAGAUGCCUCUAUUUUUUUGGCAUAGAACUUACCAAGGAAGUGAAACAGUAAGUCCAGAGAUGCUGGAGGUACUUGGGUGACUCUAGAAGUCUGAACAAUUUUGGAUAUUAAAUGCAGGAAAAUUUUCAGGGUUUAAUUCUAUAACCUACCUUCUCUCUAUAUACACAUUUAAUUGAUGAUCCUCUCCAUUCCUAUGGCUUUAGAUACUUCUACAUACUGUCAAAAUCAAAUCCAUUGCUAUAAUCCAAACCUUUCUCCUGUGUUCCAACUAUAUACGUUUCCAUUUGGAGGUUCUAAAGUUGCUUGCAACUGAGCAUGUUGAAAAUUUAAGAAAUAUACACAGUCUUUCUCUUUUUCUCUCUUACCCUUUCUAUUUUCUGCUAGACUUUAGCAUUUCAUAAUAAAAGUUUUUAAAAUAUUUUAUUAUUGUAUAUGUAACUUUUAUGUUUAUUAAAAAUAUUUGGGUACCAAUAUUAGAUUCCUAAGGUAUCAUUUGUUAAAUCAUCCAACAACAAGAUAAAAUAUUCACUUCCAAUAUCCAUGCUCUUCUUCUACUUUACAUUUUAAAUGAGUAUAGCAACAAAUAUUUAAUGUUUGUCUCAAAACUGUCCCUAAGAAAUGGCAAGUUGUACCCCUAGAAAAGUUCUCAUCUUUACUUCAUUAGACCAUCCAGUUGUGUCCCUUGGAAGGCCAGCUGCUAGGGACCAGUCUCAGGCUGUACCUUGUCUCCAGAACUGGGCUUACAGUUGAACUUUAUUUUUCAAUAGGUCAAUACUAUAGUUGAAAAGGCAGAAAAAACAUAAAAUAUGAAGUCAGGGAGAUGUGUAUUAAAAUUCCAACUCCAAAAUCCAUUAGUUGGUGCUCUGGUUUCAAAGUAGUUUGUCCUCUCUGAACUCAUGUUGAGACUUAGUCCCCAGUGGAACAGAGUGUCAAGAGGGAAUGAGAGUCUUAGGAGAUCAUUAGGUCCUUAAGAGCGUUUCAUGCCUUGCUCAUGGGAGUGGCUUCUCCUUACAGAGCAAGUCUGGCUCUCAGCCCUCAUCUCCUCUGCAUACUCUUGCCCUUCCUCUUUCCCACCAUGAUAUGAUGCAGUGUGAGAUGCUCACCAGAUGCAGCCACCCACUUCCAGAUCUGUGAGCCUCUGAAACUUCGAGCUAAAUAAACUUCUUUCCUUUAUAAAUUAUCCAGUCUCAGAUAUUGUGUUAAAGCAACAGCAAAUGUACUAAGAGAGUUGAGUAAGCUUAGAUAAUUCUGGCCUUUCCUUUCCUGAAAAAAGUGGAAAUAAUGGUACCUUCCUUGGAUGAUUGCUGUACUAAAUAAGAAUACUCCAGUAUCUGAUAUAUAGUUGGUGCCUUCUAAAUGCUAAUUUCUUCCCUACUCCUUUUCAUUCCAACCUCAAGGAAGUUAUGGGAAACAGUGGUAAAAAUCAUCAAGUAAAGCCACAAAAACAGAGUGAAAGGAAGGUCUAUAGAAAAAAAGAAAGAUAUCUGGAAGUGAAUAUUGUGCAUGUUUGUGUUUUCAUUGUCCCCCCUUUUUUUAAUCCUAGUUUGUAUAGGAAGAGAGAAGAAAACUAGAUUUUUUUUUUUUUUGCUAAGGCUGAUCACUUUCCACUGAAUCCAAGUGUUUUGCAAAAUUUCCCCCAGCAGAGAACAGCAUCUUACCCCUACUUUUCCAUAGCCUCACUGGAGCUUGCACGGGGUAGGGUGGGGGCGUUGUUCUCUGUGGGGAACAUUUCUUUCUGGAGGCAUCUUUCCUACUGGUAGACCUUGGGAGCUCAUGGAAAAAUCUAUCAACUGACCCUGGGAGAACAGCACCUCAGGCCUUUCUCAGAUCUGUAGCACCUACUUUCUACAGAAAAAGAGAGGCUAUCUGAAGAAGGUGAAUUUGGAAUCUGAAAGUAAAGAAUUCUUUAUUAUUAUAUUCAUGAGAUUUCUUGCCCCCAGUGGUUUACAUGGAAAUUUGAGAACAACACUGCCCUUCGGAAAGUGACUUCAGGAUUCCACAUGUCUUUUGACAUUGAGAUAUAAAAUGAAGUAGUGGUGUGCUGGAAAGAUGACUCUCUAGAGGGGGGACAGCCUCAUCCGUAUCAGCUGUUGAAUCUGUGGUGUCAUACUGCCACUGGGGCCAAUUACAAGCCUCUAGCGUGACUUUGGUGAGCAUGGAGUUGGAAAGGGCCAUGAUAAGCAGCCCUCUUGACCCAGGCAAUCUGGCUCUAGCACAACACUGAGCUUGAGGUUCAUGUUUGUGGAUCAUAGUUAUUGGCAAAUUCAGCACUUGUUGAAAAUAGACAUCAUCAAGUUCUAGAAUUCACUGCUUCUCAUUUCUAUGGUCUGCAUCUUGGCCAUUGUUUCUCCAGCUUUUUGAAGCAGCCCAGAAAAUCUCACCGCUACAGACCCCAGACCCUUUGACUUAAUGAAGAUUGAUGUCUUCAUUAGAUUUUGAAAAGGAAUGCUUGGACAGUUUAUUACCUGGUUGUUGGUGCCUAGUACUCUCUGUUCCAUUGCCCAUCUCCCCCACCUCCUGUGACACAUUCCUGAAAAUGCUCCAGGAAAAAAAUGUUACAGUCUUGGCAGAUCAGCCUCUCUGAUUGUGCAAUGUCCUUCCUGAGAAACCCCAUUCUCCAAAGGCAGCCAUUCUGGAACAGGAUGGAGAAAUAGGGGGCAGGUUGGCUCCCCAGAGGGCAGCACGGGAGGCAGAUGGCAAUGGACAGGGACAGAAUAAAUUUAUGGUAAAUGGCAUCUGUGGGUCUCUCACCAGCUCAUAGCUUUAGAAAAACUAUCAAAAGGUUCAUUGGAAAGAAGAAGAUGAAGAGCGGACUCUUCCAACUAUACCACUUUUAAUUCUUUUUGUCUCUUACAAGGCAAAUUCACAAAUAUUAUCUUGCUUGUUCCUCACAAUAGACUGGUGAGACAGUAUAAUAUUGUUUCUCUACAAACUGUAUCAAUACGUUAUAAAAUAUACUCAUGUAAUGUACAAUGUAAAUAUUAAUAAUGGAUAAUAAAUAUUAGCAUUUCCUCUUUACAGAUGAAGACAGCAAGACUCAAAGAAGAGAAAUGACUUGUGUAGGGCCACACAAAUGUUAAUGACAGGGAGGAACUUGAACUCCAUUUGUCCCAUGCCAGGGUAGAGCAUUCCCUAUAUCACACUGAAGCGUAAGUGUGGCGAUUAUAGAAGGCUCCCCUCAGCCCCAGUUAUUUAAUCCCACAUGCUAGGUGGAACCAAAACUGCCAGAACUUUUAAACAAGUCUGAAGUGAUCCUCUGGAAAGUUCCAUGAGCUCCUGGGCAGAAGAGAUUCCUUGAGGAGUAGCCAGCAACACCUCACUUACCUGUUAAGGUUGACACAGAAGGAGAUAUUUUGUAAAAAUAAAAUAUCUAUAUCAUUGUUCACACACCUCAAGCUUCCAAAUUUCAAAUGAAAUAUUUACAAAUUACAUUGCAUAUCACCCUGUGUUCCUACACUUAGAAUGUCCAAUACAGCUUACCCAACCUUUUGUUGUAAAAUCAUCGUAGACUUCAUCUUUAGCUCACAGUCCUCGGGGCUCUGCCCACAGGCUUCCAGACUGCUGUGCCUCUUGGCUCCUGGCUUUGUUCUGCUCCUGUUGGUGCACUUACCUUCCAGGGUCUCUGCCCCUCUUCUAUCUUGCUGAUGCUAAUCUGUUCAGGAGUGAGGAACUAAUCCAGAUAACUUGUCGAUUAGAUUGGCUAAGCUGGAGGAGGUGGGUUUGAAAUAAAAUCUUGGAUAACUCUUCUAGACUUUCUAACAUCUUCUGGAUGUGUGGUGGGGCUAUGGCUGUGUUGCUCAGAUGGCUUUACCAGAAGGGCGCCUGCCUUGCUCAGUUGCCAUGAAUGUUGGUGAGCAAUAACCUCUAUCUCCACUGAAGACUUCCCUGAGCCUCCAGAAGCUGCUCCCCUUGAAAUUCCCCAAGGUUAUCUCCUCACUUGUGGGCGUGGCUUAUAGCCAACUACUAAUAUGGAGGCGUAAAGCACACAGGCCUCUUCCCUCAAGGUGGGACAAUUCUGGAGGCUCUCCUUGUUCCUUAGCUUCCCAUGGGAUCAGGCAGGGACUUAUCUGCAACUAAAUCUGUGUGUUGGUUUUGCUUGUCCCCUGUCCUGUCUUGCUUCCCUUAGCCCCUUCUUCUUUUUUUUUAACAUUUUAAAAAAUAUUUUUUUAGUUGAAGUUGACACAAGAUCUUUAUUUAUUUUUAUGUGGUGCUGAUGAUCGAACCCAGGGCCUCACACAUAUGAGGCAGGCUCUCUACCAAUGAGCUACAGCCCCAGCCCUUGCCCUCAGCCCCUUCUAGGUUUCACUUGUGAGCACUUUCAGAAGACUCUCAGCUUCUAAUUCCAGGGACUCCAACCUACAAGGAGGCUUCCCCUGUUUCCCCUCCCCAUAUUUCCAUAUUCUUGCUAUAUUGGAGAGAUAAGACAGCAAAAGAACACUGUUCUCUUCCCUUUCUUUUACCCCAACCCUACAUCAACAAAGGAAAGAAAUGUAAUCAUGAAAGAAAUAAUGCAUGAUGACACCAAAAAAAAAAUCAUUUGCAAAAGAUAUAUAAGAAAUUUAAUUAUUUGUCAAACCUUGACUUAAAACUUACCGAAAGAGCCACUGUAGUCAGAUCUGAGGGUAUAGAUGAAACAGAUACACUCACAUCCUCUCCCCCUUUGGAGAAGCUCACAGUCUGAUGAGGUAACCAAGUGAGUAGGACAAUUACCCUACCUUGCCAUCAAUGCUAUCAUUGAAAUCCGAAUGCAUUCGUUCAUUGAAGAAAUAUUUUAAACAUCCACUAAGUGUUUAACUGUGGGAAUAUAAACAAUGCAGAACAAAUAACUGCACAGCUUAAAGUCUGAGACAUGAGAGCUUUUCCUUCAGCAAUGAUCCUGGUGGAGUUGAAGAAGGUUGGGGAAGGUGUUUGGAUUGAAGGGCAAUGUCUUAAAAGAGCGAGGUGUUUGUGGGGACCUGGGGAAAGUUUAUCACAGCAAGAGAUAAGGAGAAAGCAGAGAAAAAGGCCAGGAUGGAUAUGCAGAGCUUUAUCUGCCAGGCUGAGAAGUUUAGGUUUUAUCCUGUAGGUAAUUUGGAGCCAGGAAUGUGGCUCAGGCCACUUCAGUAGGAGCACGACUAUCAUCUGCAGGGUAAAGAAGGGAAAGGAUUGGAUGCAGCUGGGUGGACAGCUGACUUUUGCAUGUAAUGCACAAACUACACAAUGGCAUAAGACAGCGCUAAUGACCUGUGACAUCGUAGCUUAGUUAUAUCAUCAGUGCACCAAUACGUGUGUCUUUCAGGAGGACAUUGCAGAAUUAAGUUAAUUAAGUUCUUACUCUUGAGAUUUUGAUUUGAAAAAGAACCUAAAAAUUCUCCUGCUGAGCACUCCCUAUGUUUGAGGUGUGUAGCUAACUAGAUAUGACUUAAUAGGUCCAGAAACAUCCAAGAGAAUCUCUGUCCCCAGGUCUUACAUGUUGUCACGAAUAUCUGAGAAGCCAUCAUUGCAGAUUCAUCCCUUGUAACUCAUCAUCCUCUCAUCCAGCCUGGGAGAUGAGAUUUCAAAUUUGGGUAGGAGGGGAGUGGAAAGAUUAUGAGAGAGAUUAUGAGUUCACUGUGGCACAGAAGAGGUGGAAAUAGUUGCCAUGGGGAAGAGAGCUGGGAGGAGGGAAGAGGCUUGAGGGCGGGAAUAAACCUUCAUGAUCUUUCUUUCUUUCACAGUAUUGCAGGGAGCAGGUGCCGUCUGAUCAAAUUCAGUUAAAUAACACAGUACCAAGUAUUCUGAUUAUUUGAUGAUUACAAGGAAAAUAUAAUUUCCCCAUAUAUAGAUGAAUUCCUUCCAUUGCUUACAUUUUCCCUAGUAAUAAUAAAAAACAGCAACAACAAUAAACAUGGUUUAGAUAGUUAUUACAUGCCUGACAGUAGGCUAAGAUUUCUUCCUGUAUUUAUCUCAUUUCAUUGUCCCCCCCAAAUGACAACAGAAGUAUUAGCACUAAUUAAUCACUAUGGAGAAGGAAAGUCAUGUGUUCAGAGUUACAUAACUUGUUGAGAAUGCAUGGCUGGAGAAAGACAUACCCAGGUCAUUCCACUCUGUUCCACUACCAAUGCUUCAACUAUUGCCUAUGUGACAUCCCAAGUAUGGCUGUUGCUCCUUCCUCCACCAUUUCCAAACCUUUUCACCCAUGUCAAGUUGCCUUCAUUCACUUUAACAUUACCGACCACCUCUCAGGUGGGUUGUACCCUUAUCCUCCGUGUAGCUUUCUAGCUGAUUUCUACCUUCUUUUAAUACUUUCGUGCCUUUAAGGUAGGCAAUAAAUUUUCUCAUGAAUAGAUAGAUCUGUAUGUUUUGCUAAAGUUUUUCAGUGACUUUUGUUUUGUUUUCUCUCCCAAAGGUUUUAGGUGAUUGCUGAGUAGGGAUCAAAUCUUCGGUCCUUAUCUCCUCAACUGCACCCACAGUGUUGGGUUGGAGGCAGGAAGCCCCUGACUCUUAGGCCCUGACAUGGCCGAGAUGCGCCCCCCUCAGAGGCCGCAUUCGUAGGAAGAAGAAAUGCAUGUGUGGAUCUGAUAAGGUCCCAGUGAUAUCUGGAGAAGAUGUCCUAUUAGUGAGGAUCAGCGAUGUUUACCAUUUCAGUGCACAGAAGCAAGCCAAGAUAACAGUCGGAGAGUCUGUGGACAGAAGUUCAUGGAGAUCACUGCUUGACAGGUCAGGGUAAAGGUCUCUUUCUUUCAAAAUAUGUGAAGGGUCAGGAAACGUGUGUACCAGGUGUUUUGUGUUCAUGGCUGCCUGGGAAAGAUAAUUCUGUCUGCUCGAUAAGAACAUUGUGCUCCACACAUCAGGUUGUUUUUUUCCAACAGCUAUUUUCUGCCUAUAAAAAUGAGCGCUGCUGGCUCCCAACUUCUUUCCACAAAUCCCUCUGGCUACAAACAAUAACAAAAGGUAUCUUAUAUUUAUACAAAGCUGUCCUCGGAAAAGCUCAAGGACCUGAACGAAGC
RNAcentral lists this long non-coding RNA (8214 nucleotides) under Marmota monax (woodchuck). Lineage: Eukaryota; Metazoa; Chordata; Mammalia; Rodentia; Sciuridae. The record is from RNAcentral.